RNAcentral lists this long non-coding RNA (709 nucleotides) under Oncorhynchus kisutch (coho salmon). RNAcentral's name for it is "lncRNA (ENSOKIG00005027819.1)". Lineage: Eukaryota; Metazoa; Chordata; Actinopteri; Salmoniformes; Salmonidae. The record is from RNAcentral.
AGCAUAGAAAGGAAGUGAAAAGUUAAUUAGGUAAGUGGUGGCCUAAGUCACUAUUUUGUUCCGUCUGUCUGCCUUGGGUGUUGAUGACCAACGAGUGACCUGUUACUCACUGACUGGAAACAUAAUCAUAGUCGGCAUAACAACGAAUCGUUGUAUUAAGAGAAAAACAAAAGUGAAUUUGCUGUUAGUUUUCGAGUUCAUCUGACUAUUCCAGAGCUUGACAACUCACGGAGACGGUGAGGAUGCGCUGUCUUCACAGUUUUCUCGACCACGUUGAAAGUCUACCUGCGCGAAACUGAAGGGUUCACCUUCCCACAGCGUAUCUCAGAUCAUCGACACUUCUAUUGUGCAGCGAGGAGCAAAAGAAUGCUCCUGGCACAAGAUGUCUGAUUUACAGGCGAGCAGUGGAACCUUAGAUAUUCUCUGCUACGACUCAACUCACCACAAAAAAAAACAGAGAAGCAAGUUUUUAUGAGGAACAGAACAUUUUCUCAGUACUGUUUCAAUAAAUACUGACUUUUGAAAAAAAUCACCUUCCAACAACCAUAUCUGAGAGCGGAAUUUGUUAGUCUACCCAAGAGGGAAACAGACCCAGGAUUAAGCGAUGAAAAGUACAUAGAGAAAGAGAAACACAAGGAAGGAGGAAUAGGAACAAAUACAAGAGAUUUAAGCGCUCUUUCAUUCCUCUCCACUCAUCCUUGGACCAGAC